RNAcentral lists this long non-coding RNA (239 nucleotides) under Prunus dulcis (almond). Its description in RNAcentral is "sRNA ncRNA". Lineage: Eukaryota; Viridiplantae; Streptophyta; Magnoliopsida; Rosales; Rosaceae. The record is from RNAcentral.
AUCCCGGGAUCGGCUCCGCCGUAGCACGAUAUUGUCCGCUUUGGGCCCCCUUCUCUGCCCGCACAGUUUUGUUUCUGGGAGCUCACGAGCAACUUCCCAGUGGGUCACCCAUCCUGGGAUUGCUCUAGCCCCCAACUCGCUUAACUUCGGAGUUCCUACGACUCCGAAGCCAGUGAGCUCCCAAAAGGCCUCGUGCUAGAUGGAUACGGGUGUGCACAUAUAAGGCACAUCACCCCCUC